This 1348-nucleotide ribosomal RNA is filed under the name uncultured organism. RNAcentral describes it as "bacterial SSU rRNA". It matches the Rfam family "Bacterial small subunit ribosomal RNA". The record is from RNAcentral.
GCUGUGUGCCUAAUACAUGCAUGUCGAACGAAGCACUUGUGCUUAGUGGCGAAUGGGUGAGUAACACGUACUUAAUCUACCCUCAAGUUUGGGACAACAUUUGGAAACGGAUGCUAAUACCAAAUAUUUAUUACUUUCGCAUGGAAGAAAUAUAAAAGGAGCGUUUGCUCCGCUUAAGGAUGAGAGUGCGUUGCAUUAGUUAGUUGGUAGGGUAAAGGCCUACCAAGACGAUGAUGCAUAGCGGGGUCGAGAGGCUGAACCGCCACACUGGGACUGAGAUACGGCCCAGACUCCUACGGGAGGCAGCAGUAGGGAAUUUUCCACAAUGAACGAAAGUUUGAUGGAGCGACACAGCGUGCAGGAUGAAGGUCUUCGGAUCGUAAACUGCUGUUAUAAGAGAAGAACAAGCUUGAUAGGAAAUGAUCAAGCCCUGACGGUAUCUUAUCAGAAAGCACCGGCAAACUAUGUGCCAGCAGCCGCGGUAAUACAUAGGGUGCAAGCGUUAUCCGGAAUUAUUGGGCGUAAAGCGUUCGUAGGCGGUUUAUUAAGUCUAGAGUUAAAUACUGGGGCUCAACCCCAGCACGCUCUGGAUACUGGUAGACUAGAGUUAUAGAGAGAUUAGCGGAACUCCAUGUGAAGCGGUGGAAUGCGUAGAUAUAUGGAAGAACACCAAUAGCGAAGGCAGCUAAUUGGCUAUACACUGACGCUGAGGAACGAAAGCACAGCUAACGCGUUAAACGAUCCGCCUGAGUAGUAUGCUCGCAAGAGUGAAACUUAAAGGAAUUGACGGGGGCCCGCACAAGCGGUGGAGCAUGUGGUUUAAUUUGAAGAUACGCGGAGAACCUUACCCACUUUUGACAUCUUCUGCAAAACUAUAGAGAUAUAGCGGAGGUUAACAGAAUGACAGAUGGUGCAUGGUUGUCGUCAGCUCGUGUCGUGAGAUGUUAGGUUAAGUCCUGCAACGAGCGCAACCCCUAUCAUUAGUUACUAAUAUUAAGUUAAGGACUCUAAUGAGACUGCCUGGGUAACCAGGAGGAAGGUGGGGACGACGUCAAAUCAUCAUGCCUCUUACAAGUGGGGCUACACACGUGCUACAAUGGGCAGUACAGAAUGAUGCAACAUGGCAACAUUUAGCAAAACACAAAAACUGCUCUCAGUUCGGAUUGGAGUCUGCAACUCGACUCCAUGAAGUUGGAAUCGCUAGUAAUCGUAGGUCAGCAAUACUACGGUGAAUACGUUCUCGGGUCUUGUACACACCGCCCGUCACACCACGGGAGCCGAUAAUGCCCGAAGCCGGUUGGUUAACCACAAUUCGUUGGGAUGCUGCUGUCUAAGGCAGGAUUGGUAA